CCUACGGGUGGCAGCAGUAAGGAAUAUUGGGCAAUGGACGGAAGUCUGACCCAGCCAUCCCGCGUGCAGGAAGAAUGCCCUAUGGGUUGUAAACUGCUUUUGUUUGGGAAGAAAUGUACUUUUUUAAGAGUAUUUGACGGUACCAGACGAAUAAGCACCGGCUAACUCCGUGCCAGCAGCCGCGGUAAUACGGAGGGUGCAAGCGUUAUCCGGAAUCACUGGGUUUAAAGGGUGCGUAGGCGGCCAGAUAAGUCAGAGGUGAAAGUUUCCGGCUCAACCGGGAGAUUGCCUUUGAUACUGUUUGGCUUGAAUCAGAUUGAGGUUGGCGGAAUGUGACAUGUAGCGGUGAAAUGCAUAGAUAUGUCAUAGAACAUCGAUUGCGAAGGCAGCUGGCUGGAUCUGUAUUGACGCUGAGGCACGAAGGCGUGGGGAGCAAACAGGAUUA
This 445-nucleotide ribosomal RNA is filed under the name uncultured bacterium. Its description in RNAcentral is "bacterial SSU rRNA". It matches the Rfam family "Bacterial small subunit ribosomal RNA", at positions 338 to 780 of the family's 1533-position model. The record is from RNAcentral.